AUUGAACGCUGGCGGCAGGCCUAACACAUGCAAGUCGAGCGGAUGAGGGGAGCUUGCUCCUGGAUUCAGCGGCGGACGGGCGAGUAAUGCCUAGGAAUCUGCCUGGUAGUGGGGGAUAACGUCCGGAAAUGGGCGCUAAUACCGCAUACGUCCUGAGGGAGAAAGUGGGGGAUCUUCGGACCUCACGCUAUCAGAUGAGCCUAGGUCGGAUUAGCUAGUUGGUGGGGUAAAGGCCUACCAAGGCGACGAUCCGUAACUGGUCUGAGAGGAUGAUCAGUCACACUGGAACUGAGACACGGUCCAGCCUCCUACGGGAGGCAGCGGUGGGGAAUAUUGGACAAUGGGCGAAAGCCUGAUCCAGCCAUGCGGCGUGGGUGAAGAAGGUCUUCGGAUGGUAAAGCACUUUAAGUUGGGAGGAAGGGCAGUAAGUUAAAACCUUGCUGUUUGGACGUUACCAACAGAAUAAGCACCGGCUAACUUCGU
Molecule: ribosomal RNA, 483 nt
Filed under: uncultured bacterium
Lineage: Bacteria
Description: partial 16S ribosomal RNA
Rfam family: Bacterial small subunit ribosomal RNA
Source: RNAcentral